RNAcentral lists this long non-coding RNA (900 nucleotides) under Sus scrofa (pig). RNAcentral's name for it is "lncRNA (ENSSSCG00050062160.1)". The record is from RNAcentral. Lineage: Eukaryota; Metazoa; Chordata; Mammalia; Artiodactyla; Suidae.
AGACGACCUCACUGGAUGUGCCCUCCUUUGUUCCCAUAACUGGCUGGCUACUGGAGAAGUGUCCCUCUUCCAACCAGGCCUAUGGUUUUUUUCAGGGCAUCAACAUCGUGUGCGGAGGGGAUGAGCAAGAAGACAAUGGAGCGUUCCCGCUGCUCGCUUGCUCUGCAGUGAGAUGCAGUGUGUUGUUCUGGGAGGACGGCAGUAAUGCAAAAACCAAUCCAGCACAUUCCAUGCAUGGGAAAGGCAUUGAAAAUACUUACAAUAGCGAAUUUUUCCUUUAAGCCUAAGCGUAAGUGACUUUUCUUUGGGCGACCGCUCCCAUUGGACGGCUUCAGGACCGCCUUCUGCAGUCAUUCAGGUGUGAAAUGUGCCUUUAAUAUGCCUUUCUUUCCCACUAUUAUGCAAAGUAGUUAUUUUCGGCUAAGAUCAAAUAUGAAAAACUACAAUGUAAAGAAAAAAACUUGAAAAGUGUACGUAUAAAAGGAGUGCAUAUGCCUUAUUUUGUAAUGUUGAGCUCUAAGCUGAGUCAUUGAUCUAGAAGUUGGGGUACAAAGUUACGUUUAUUCAGACGAUUUGGCCAAGCCGGUUGGGGAGCAAAGUGCUGUCUGGGGCACAAUAAUAACAUUGGUGGAAGAGAGAUACCUGCUUCUGUCUCUCACUAUGCCCACAAUGGGUGAUGACACCAGGGAAGCUGCCCUCCUGUUAUGCUAACAGGCAAUGUUAGCAGAACAUGAAAACACACCAGAAGCGUCAAAGGGCCCGACCCCCGGAGACACAAAUCCUCUUUGUGUCCAGCUUAUCUCCAGCUGCUGCCAUGAUAAAUAGUCCAGCUCCAGGGAGCCUGGGGAAGCGCUACCCCACGGAACGAAGCACAGAGGGAAGCGAGCUUGAGGAAAUAUU